UACAGGGGGUGCAAACGUUGCUCGGAAUUAUUGGGCGUAAAGCGCGCGUAGGCGGCUACUUAAGUCGGAUGUGAAAGCCCUUGGCUCAACUGAGGAAGUGCACCCGAAACUGAGUGGCUAGAGUACGAAAGAGGGUCGCGGAAUUCCCGGUGUAGAGGUGAAAUUCGUAGAUAUCGGGAGGAACACCGGUGGCGAAGGCGGUUCUCUGGGCCUGACCUGACGCUGAGGAGCGAAAGCGUGGGGAGCGAACAGG
This 253-nucleotide ribosomal RNA is filed under the name uncultured bacterium. Its description in RNAcentral is "partial 16S ribosomal RNA". It matches the Rfam family "Bacterial small subunit ribosomal RNA", at positions 524 to 776 of the family's 1533-position model. The record is from RNAcentral.